GUCUUUUUGAGAAUAAUUUAAAGUCUAAUCUGCCCACUGAAUUAAUUUAAAGGGCUGCAGUAUAUUGACUGUACAAAGGUAGCAUAAUCAAUAGUCUUUUAAUUGAAGACUUGUAUGAAUGAUUUGAUGAGAUAUAGACUGUCUCUUUAUUAUAAAUUGAAAUUAAUUUUUUAGUUAAAAAGCUAAAAUAAUUAUAAAAGACGAGAAGACCCUAUAGAGUUUAAUAACUUUUUUUAUUUUAAUUUUGUAUAAAAUUUAAAAUUAAAAUAAAAAAAGUUAUUUUGUUGGGGUGAUAGAAAAAUUAAAAAAACUUUUUUUAAAAAAAAAUUACAUUAAUUUAUGAUUAAAUGAUCCAUAAUUUAUGAUUAUAAGAAUAAAUUACCUUAGGGAUAACAGCGUAAUUUUUUUUUUUAGUUCAAAUAAAAAUUAAAGUUUGCGACCUCGAUGUUGGAUUAAGAUAAAAUUUAAAUGCAAAAGUUUAAAAUUUUGAUCUGUUCGAUCAUUAAAAUCUUACA
Molecule: ribosomal RNA, 515 nt
Filed under: Teracolus eris
Lineage: Eukaryota; Metazoa; Arthropoda; Insecta; Lepidoptera; Pieridae
Description: partial 16S ribosomal RNA
Rfam family: Bacterial large subunit ribosomal RNA (bases 389-515)
Source: RNAcentral